GUUAGCCUACGGGGCGCAGCAGUGAGGAAUAUUGGUCAAUGGGCGGAAGCCUGAACCAGCCAAGUCGCGUGAGGGAAUAAGGCCCUACGGGUCGUAAACCUCUUUUGCCGGGGAGCAAGGGCCGGGACGCGUCCCGGCCCGGAGAGUACCCGGAGAAAAAGCAUCGGCUAACUCCGUGCCAGCAGCCGCGGGAAUACGGAGGAUGCGAGCGUUAUUCGGAUUUAUUGGGUUUAAAGGGUGCGUAGGCGGGGUUUUAAGUCAGCGGUAAAAAUUCGGGGCCCAACC
RNAcentral lists this ribosomal RNA (285 nucleotides) under uncultured bacterium. RNAcentral describes it as "partial 16S ribosomal RNA". It matches the Rfam family "Bacterial small subunit ribosomal RNA", at positions 332 to 614 of the family's 1533-position model. The record is from RNAcentral.